UGAAAGUCCUGUCCAGCAGCUGCGAAUGAGCCAUGCUUGCAUGGACGAAUUCGCAGAUAUUGGACGGGCUAGACCGUAUGAGUAAGUAGGGCGAUAGCCCGGAUUACGAAUACGGUCGGCAGUUACGGGAGCACCGUAGGUGCGGAGUAACUGACUUUCA
Molecule: small RNA, 160 nt
Filed under: Ruminococcus sp. AF31-8BH
Lineage: Bacteria; Bacillati; Bacillota; Clostridia; Eubacteriales; Oscillospiraceae
Description: Clostridiales-1 RNA
Rfam family: Clostridiales-1 RNA
Source: Rfam by way of RNAcentral